UAAAGUAAUUUACUUUUAUUAGAA
This 24-nucleotide transfer RNA is filed under the name Drosophila mercatorum. RNAcentral's name for it is "partial tRNA-Leu". The record is from RNAcentral. Lineage: Eukaryota; Metazoa; Arthropoda; Insecta; Diptera; Drosophilidae.